UCCUACGGGAGGCAGCAGUGGGGAAUAUUGGACAAUGGGGGCAACCCUGAUCCAGCAAUACCGCGUGUGUGAAGAAGGCCUGCGGGUUGUAAAGCACUUUCAGUGAGGAGGAAGGUUUAAGCGUUAAUAGCGUUUAGAAUUGACGUUACUCACAGAAGAAGCACCGGCUAACUCUGUGCCAGCAGCCGCGGUAAUACAGAGGGUGCAAGCGUUAAUCGGAAUUACUGGGCGUAAAGAGUGCGUAGGUGGCUGAAUAAGUUAGGUGUGAAAUCCCCGGGCUCAACCUGGGAACUGCGCUUAAAACUGUUCAGCUAGAGUGUUGUAGAGGAAAGUAGAAUUUCCGGUGUAGCGGUGAAAUGCGUAGAUAUCGGAAGGAAUACCAGUGGCGAAGGCGACUUUCUGGACAUUCACUGACACUGAGGCACGAAAGCGUGGGGAGCAAACAGGAUUAGAUACCCUGGUAGUCCACGCCGUAAACGAUGAGAACUUACUGUUGGGUGCGUAAAGGCACUUAGUAGUGGAGCUAACGCGUUAAGUUCUCCGCCUGGGGAGUACGGUCGCAAGAUUAAAACUCAAAUGAAUUGACGG
RNAcentral lists this ribosomal RNA (588 nucleotides) under uncultured bacterium. RNAcentral's name for it is "bacterial SSU rRNA". It matches the Rfam family "Bacterial small subunit ribosomal RNA", at positions 337 to 916 of the family's 1533-position model. The record is from RNAcentral.